CUGGCUCAGGAUGAACGCUAGCGACAGGCUUAACACAUGCAAGUCGAGGGGCAUCACGGGAGUAGCAAUACAACUGGUGGCGACCGGCGCACGGGUGAGUAACGCGUAUGCAACCUACCUAUCAGAGGGGAAUAACCCGGCGAAAGUCGGACUAAUACCGCAUAAAACAGGGGCACCGCAUGGUGAUAUUUGUUAAAGAAAUUCGCUGAUAGAUGGGCAUGCGUUCCAUUAGGUAGUUGGUGAGGUAACGGCUCACCAAGCCGACGAUGGAUAGGGGAACUGAGAGGUUGGUCCCCCACACUGGUACUGAGACACGGACCAGACUCCUACGGGAGGCAGCAGUGAGGAAUAUUGGUCAAUGGGCGGGAGCCUGAACCAGCCAAGUCGCGUGAAGGAAGAAGGAUCUAUGGUUCGUAAACUUCUUUUGCAGGGGAAUAAAGUGCAGGACGUGUCCUGUUUUGUAUGUACCCUGAGAAUAAGGAUCGGCUAACUCCGUGCCAGCCGCCGC
This 508-nucleotide ribosomal RNA is filed under the name uncultured bacterium. Its description in RNAcentral is "bacterial SSU rRNA". It matches the Rfam family "Bacterial small subunit ribosomal RNA", at positions 19 to 518 of the family's 1533-position model. The record is from RNAcentral.